Molecule: non-coding RNA, 3160 nt
Organism: Taeniopygia guttata (zebra finch)
Lineage: Eukaryota; Metazoa; Chordata; Aves; Passeriformes; Estrildidae
Source: RefSeq, a predicted model, not a curated record
GGGCCGGGCACUGCGGUAACCGCAGCCGCUGGGGAGGGGGCGCGGCGGCCGCGGGUCACGUGGGGCGCACGGCGGGUCACGUGGGCGCGCGGCCGCGCGGCGCCAUUAGAGGCGUCAGGUGACGGGCGGGAAAUGGAGCCGGGCCCGGCCGCCCUCAGCGCCCUCCGCCCCUCAGCGCCCUCCGCUCCCUCAGCCCGCUCCGCCCUGCCCUGCCCUGCCCUGCACAGCUCGGGCACUGCCACAAGCGCGACUUCGUUUGUGACGCUUCCCGGCUUCACACAGUUUCGCAAACUCUUUUUAGCAUGAUGUUUUUACAUGUAAUGACGUUUUCCUGUUCGCUGCUUCCCGUAUAAAUGUAAAUAAACUUUGUAGGGGAGGUGAAAUCUCAGCUGAAGGACUUCAUGCACAGGGAUCUUAACUCCAGUUGUGCCUUUUCUCAGCAGUUCUUUAAUGACCCUGACAGAAGUACUAACCCUGGUUACUACUGACAUUUUCUCUGCCGGCAUCUCCGCUGCUUCUCCUCUGUCCCCACCCAUGGCCCUGACGACGUCUCUCAUCUCCCAACUGGCCGAUGUCAUUUCUGGCAUCCCAUCUUCUUCUGGCCCUUCCUGCUCCGACCUGGCUUCCUUUGCCAUCGGCCGAGCCACCUCAGUGUUGCGGAGCCGCUCCCAGCGCCGCGAUCCCCGGUGCGCUCCGGGCCAGCUGUGCCCGGGGCGGGGAGCGCAGAGCGGCUCUGGCUGCACCCCGGCUGUCCCCAGGGCUCCAGGUGCCACCCAGCCCCGGCUGGUGGAGGGAGAGCUGUCAGGGACAAGCACCAAGAUCUAACAAACUCGCCCCUGUCUUUAACGGGCAUUCGACUCUACAGCUCGUGGUUUGUGUAUUUGAGUGGGAUAAUGCUUCUGAUGUAUUAAUUUUUACAUGUGUAUGAUGGUAUUUGUUUCACGAUGUGUUCUGCCCUUCAGAAACACAGCAUUCUUUUUCUCAGAAAUUUCAGACACCAGUAAAUGCACGUGUUUCCAUUUUCUGAAACCAAGUACAGUAUUAAAGGUUCUUUUAACUCUAAAAAUGAAAAUUUGCUUACAGUUCUGUUACAUACAUAUAUAACUCUGUCAUUAGCAAAUGCAAAACAAAUUAUGGAGAAUGUAGCUUAAUCACAGCCUGCCAUACUAAAUUUAAUUAAAAACUGGUGUGUAUCUAAAUUAUUUUCUACCUUCAUUGGAUGUGUCUGAUCAAAAAGGAAACCAACCAGGCAGGCGAGGAAGUUGUGGAAGGACUGUCAGCUCUUUUGAGCACUGUGUUCAAAUAUAUGUCUAAUCCAAUUAAACCCGAGAAAGUGGCUGUGGCAGAACUCGGUGCAGUGUUUCAGUGAAGCUCUGCAGUUGCUGAGAUAGGCAGAGCAGAUGGGAGUGGUAUCAAUCAGUUUUCAGCCAUUACCUGCACUUAAUGUUGGAUCUUUUGCCUUAAUAAGGUGACAUAAAAGCCUCGAUUUUGGAAAGCACAUAAACGUGCUUUAAGAAAAUUGAGUUCCAUGAUCAAAAUGAAGGGGGAGAAGAGGUGAUACUUACUAAAAAAUGAUAGCAGAUAAUGAGAAGCAGAAGGAAAAAACCUUUUUAUUUUGAACAGAAAUCAAAGCACUGCUGAAAAGAGUUUGUGUAAGCAGAAACAAGAAUAUUAAGAAAAAGCUAAGCCAUUAGCUAAGUCAGUGUAAAUACGUCAUGGUUUGGACUGUCUCCAUCUUCAGUCAAGUUCAGGAGUCACAUGAAUGAGUUCAUCCUACAAUCAGGAUCUAGAAAUUCCCUGCACUGUUACUCGUUUCUGCUUUAACUGUUAAUUCUUGUUCUGUAAAUAGGUCUCUUGAAAAGGGAACAUUGUACCACAGGGCCCCUGAGCCCUGGGAUCAGCAGUGCUGGGUCAGACUGAGGACAAACACCAUGGAGCUGCCCUAUGGUGUCCCUCUGUAGUGGGGGUGGGAGGCAUCUCAGAUCUUUGUGCUAAUUUAAAACUGAAGCCACAUCUCCUAAAAUCAUCUUAAUUAUACCGGCUGUGUGAUUUGCAGCCAUGGCUUUCUUGGUAGCUGUUGUACAAGUAUGUCAGCAUGAACCUGAACCUCCCCAUCAUCCCAACCAAACACUGGCAUUAAGUACAUACAGUUUUACCAGAAUUAUUUUAAAAGACCUCAAGCCUUUGUGUGGGGGUGAUGAGAGAGAGAAAUAAGACAUGUUAAAAUGUUUUAUAAAGAUAUAUUUUAACUUCUAAGGCACUCAGGAACCAUGGUGAUGGUUCUUGAAAUUGCUUAGAUAUGAGCUCUGAUCCACAGGGAACUAUCCUAAGAUUCAGAAAGAGCGUCAGCUGGUAAUAACUUCUAGUCAGUACCUACCUGGGCUUGACUGAACAGGUGACACACAUCAGAAAUCCCUUGAGACUCAUCUUCAUGUGAAUGACCACUGCUUUUGCAGUGUAAAGUGACCUUAAUGAAAAUGAGGCUCUUGCUGUAAUCUCGCACUGCUGGGAGGUUAAAAACACUCUCUCAUCCACACUGCUGGGCCUUGGUGCCAGAAGAAAUUUACUUUCCUCCCCAGUAUUUCCUUUUUUCUGCAUUCAACAUUCUGGUGGACUUUGCAUGGAGCUUAGACACCAUGGAGUUAAGAUGAGUAAACAGAUUGCUGUGGUUGUUCUGUGCAUGCCAAGGGGAGCACAAAAGAUUAUUAAUUGCAGAAUGAUUCUGUCAGUAACAGCCUUGAUCCUGCACUGGGUAUCAUUCUGUCACUGUCAGAACCUGUCACUGUUGUAGGAGAUAUCUUGUAUUAUCUAUCAUGUUCUGGUUAGUUUUGCUGUUCACAAAUACAGUUUGAAAACACAGUUGCAAUUUCAAAUCAUUUUCAUAUUCUUUAGUUUUGAACAAUUAGUUUACAAUCAUACUCUAAAUAUUUUUAAAGGGAUCUAUUUUACAGCAACCUUAAAAGCUUAUCAUAUAAAUCUAGCUAUUUUAAUUAAUAUACUAAGAUUUUGUAGCUGUCUGUAUAAAAUUAAGUUGCUUUUAUUUUUCAACUGCAGUUGUAGCAGUAUCCAAGCACUGUCCUGCAGUUCAGUAAUGGAAAUUUCCCAGCCUCAAAGCACACUCUGUCUCAGUCAGCUGCAAUAAAACUCUGAGUGAUUUCAA